This 280-nucleotide ribosomal RNA is filed under the name uncultured soil bacterium. RNAcentral describes it as "partial 16S ribosomal RNA". It matches the Rfam family "Bacterial small subunit ribosomal RNA", at positions 33 to 304 of the family's 1533-position model. The record is from RNAcentral.
CUACGCUGGCGGCAUGCUCACACAUGUCAGUCGAGCGAGAAAGUGUAGCAAUACAUGAGUACAGCGGCGCACGGGUGAGUAACACGUGGAUACCUGCCUCAAAGUGGGGAAUAACACCGGGAAACCGGUGCUAAUACCGCAUAUUCUGACGAGGUCUGCGGAUUUCGUCAGGAAAGGAGCAAUUCGCUAUGAGAGGGGUCCGCGUGCUGACUUACGCUCCAGUUGGUGAACGGUAAUGGCUCACCAAGGCCACGAUCAGUAGCCGGUCUGAGAGGACGGG